GAUGAACGCUAGCUACAGGCUUAACACAUGCAAGUCGAGGGGAAACGACAUCGAAAGCUUGCUUUUGAUGGGCGUCGACCGGCGCACGGGUGAGUAACGCGUAUCCAACCUGCCCACCACUUGGGGAUAACCUUGCGAAAGUAAGACUAAUACCCAAUGACGUCUCUAGAAGACAUCUGAAUGGGAUUAAAGAUUUAUCGGUGAUGGAUGGGGAUGCGUCUGAUUAGCUUGUUGGCGGGGUAAACGGCCCACCAAGGCGACGAUCAGUAGGGGUUCUGAGAGGAAGGUCCCCCCACAUUGGAACUGAGACACGGUCCAAAACUCCUACGGGAGGCAGCAGUGAGGAAUAUUGGUCAAAUGGGCGAGAGCCUGAACCAGCCAAGUAGCGUGCAGGACGACGGCCCUAUGGGUUGUAAACUGCUUUUAUAAGGGAAUAAAGUGAGUCUCGUGAGGCUUUUUGCAUGUACCUAUGAAUAAGGACCGGCUAAUUCCGUG
Molecule: ribosomal RNA, 495 nt
Filed under: uncultured bacterium
Lineage: Bacteria
Description: bacterial SSU rRNA
Rfam family: Bacterial small subunit ribosomal RNA
Source: RNAcentral